GAUGAACGCUAGCGGCAGGCUUAAUACAUGCAAGUCGAGGGGCAGCGCAGUGUAGCAAUACAUGGGCGGCGACCGGCAAACGGGUGCGGAACACAUACGCAAUCUACCCAAAACUGAUGAAUAGCCCUCCGAAAGGAGGAUUAAUACAUCGUAACCUAUUAGAGUAGCAUUACUUUAGUAGUAUAGCUCCGGCGGUUUUGGAUGAGCGUGCGCCUGAUUAGGUAGUUGGCGGGGUAACGGCCUACCAUGACGAUGAUCAGUAGGGGGCGUCAGAGCGUGGUCCCCCACACUGGCACUGAGAUACGGGCCAGACUCCUACGGGAGGCAGCAGUGGGGAAUAUUGCACAAUGGGCGCAAGCCUGAUGCAGCAACGCCGCGUGAGGGAUGAAGGCCUCGGUUGUAAACCUCUUUAUUCAGGGAAGAAGCGAAAGUGACGGUACCUGAAGAAAAGCACCGGCUAACUACGUAGCCAGCA
RNAcentral lists this ribosomal RNA (475 nucleotides) under uncultured bacterium. Its description in RNAcentral is "bacterial SSU rRNA". It matches the Rfam family "Bacterial small subunit ribosomal RNA", at positions 28 to 513 of the family's 1533-position model. The record is from RNAcentral.